CAGAGCAUGAACGGGGGAGGGUCAGAGAGAGGGAGACACAGAAUCUGAAACAGGCUCCAGGCUCUGAGCUGUCAGCACAGAGCCCGACGCGGGGCUCGAACUCACGGACUGCCAGAUCGUGACCUGAGCUGGUCGGAGGCUUAACCGACUGAGCCACCCAGGCACCCCAUAGCUUCAGAUGUUUUUGAUAGCAAGAUGUUUUAACACACUGAGUUCGUAUUCCAGUUCAAAGUGAAGAGGAUGAUAUUUUAACUAAAACAUGUUAAACCAUGUAGUCUCAUCUUAGAUGAAUAUGAGCUGAUUAGUAAAAAUAUCUCAAGGACCUAGGUGUUCGGAGUCCCUGGGCAAGGACACAUGUCUGCAAAGUCAUUUUUACAACUAAAGCUCUAUGAUGCUGUGGUUGAAGAUUCUCGGCUGCUAUGUAAGGCCAAGCUAAGGAUAUAUAGUGUAAUUUCAGGGACAUCGGAGGGUAUUUAUACCCUUUCCCAAAUCCCAUCAAUUGGAUGACGCCUGUAAUUUAGCUAUAACUUCAGAAGCAGGAUCACAAUUAAUGCAAGAAUAAUAGAAGAAACAAUAUUUUAAUCGACUAUUCAGUUAACAUUUAUUGUAGGUCAACUAUAUGCAGCCAUUUGCAUAUAUUAUAAAUGAAAUAUUUAAGCUGGGGCAGAAAAACGUGAGGGAAAAAAUCUUUGAGCUGUGUUUGCCUGAGUGCUAAAGGGCAAUGAAGAAAAACUCAAAAUGAGUUGAGGAUGGCACAUGGAGCCAAUUUUCUUUGAAGUGACCAAGGUUCAAAACCUAGGGAUCAAGUAAUCAAGGACUGAAGAGUACAAAUUUGUACUUGGGACUGAUUUUGUCAAAAUGGUCUCUUUCUAAUCUGUGCGUAUAGGACAUUGUAAGAGGGACCCUCAUCUGCUUUUUGAAACAUGACAUGCCACUUUAACAUAGCAGGCCACAUAAGUUAGAGCAGAGUUCCUCUCAUCCCGUUGAUGAGGCAGGGCACCAGGACCAACGCCAGCCAUCUGCUGUCCUUCAGAACCCCAAAAGGUCCUGGAGCUAAUGCAGCUCUGUAGCACUGGAAGUAUGAAUGAACAAAAAAGGAGGUGACCCCUAAUUCUUGUCUCUGCACACAGUAGGAGCUAUGGAUAGAAUGGUGGAACAAAGAGUCUACUCCUGACUCUCACUGGUGGCAAAGACAGCUCUUCUUAUGACAGGUGCUCUCUUAGGUGCCUAUUAUGGGAGGAAGAGGUGAGGCUCAAACCCCAACUCCUGUGUGGAGGAGGCAUUAUAGGGGCUGGUGCCCCUUACACGAUGACGGAUCAUGAGUUAAAAGCUCAGUCAAAAUAUGUUCUUGAAACAGCCCAAAUAUGUAGUUUCCCUGCAUUUGAGAGAAAAAGCUUCUGUACAUAUAUCUAUCUACCCAUGCCUUUUGCAAGGUUCUCAAGGACAGGUUUGUGUUUGGGGAGGUUUUGUUUUGUUUUCUUUUCAUCAUAAACUGUCUUUUAUUCCUUUUUUUUUCUUAUACUUUUGAGUGCUUUAUUUCCAAGCAUACAGAAAACAUUUCAAAGCACUGUGUACCGAGUUAAAUAUGAGUGUCUGCCUUUCACCACUUUCUCUUGCUUUCGCCAUGUCCUAGGAGAAACACACUUGCAUCAGCAUAUGAUUAGCCCAAUGUGAAGCACCCCAGUAAGCUAUGUGCAAAGGACAGAGGAGGAAAGGAUUAUUAACUCUACCAGAGGGGGCCAGGAGUCAGGAGAUAUGUCAGAGGAGGUGUUCGCUGAAAAGAGGCUGAGCAAAAGUUUGCAAGGAAGAUGAGGAGAGGUGGCAAAGGUAGAGCAUCAAGAUGCAUGGGGUAUUUUUAGAACUUCUAAUAAUCUGGUGUCUUCCCCCUAUACACUGCUUAUAGUGAUACUUCUGAAGGUAAAUGCUAUAAAAGAGGUGGAGAUCUGGUUAGGGAAGACUUUGUAUACAGUGCUGUCUAAUUGUAUUAUCCAAAUGAUAAAGUAAAUAAAGUAGGACUGGUGUGGGCUGAAUUGUGUCCCUCUCAAAUUCUAUGUUGAAGCCCUAAUCCCCAGUACCUCGGGAUAUGACUGUAAUUAGAGACAGGGCCUUUAAAGAGGUGAAUAAAUGAAAAUGAGGCUGUUAGGGUGGGUGCUGAUCCCAGACUGCAAAGGAUCCCAGAUUCCUUUUCCUUGUAAGAAAAGGAAGUUAUGGGACACCUGGGUGGCUCAGUCGGUUAAACAUCUGACUUCGGCUUGGGUCAUGAUGUGGCAGUUCCUGAGUUUGAGCCCCGAGUCAGGUUCUGUGCUGACAGCUGAGAGCCUGGAGCCUGCUUCAGAUUGUGUGUCUCCCUCUCUCUCUACCCCUCCCCCACUUGUGCUCUGUCUCUGUCCCUCUCUCUCUCUCUCAAAAACAAAUAAACAAAAAAAAAUUUUUUAAAGGAAGUUAUGACACACAGGGAGACACCAGGAAUGUGUGCGCCCCAAAGAAAAGACCUUGUGAAGACACUAGGAGAUACCAGGAAUAUGUGUGCCCAAAGGAAAAGAAGGCAACUGUCUCCAAGUCCAGAAGAGAGGCCCCAGAAGAAACCAGACCUUUGUCCUAGACUUGUAUCCCCCAGAGCUUUCUGUGGGGUCACCCAGUCUGUGUGUGACUGUCAUUCUAUUACAGCCCUAGAAAAUUAAUACAAGCACCUUUAUCUGCAGAAGCCUUUUCAAAGAGAGGAUUGGUAUGUUCAAAUAGGGCCUUUAGAAGUCUAAGUAUGUUGAUAGUGUGAUCCUUUAAUUAUCUUAAUAAUCUGAGGUUGUCUUGUUUAACAGUCUCUUUUUUGGACCAUCAUAAAAGAUAACUUAUUUUGUUACUUUGACCAAGAAAUCUAGGGGUCUAGAGAGUGAAACCCAGCAUACUCAAACCAGUUAGUGCCACAUUUAUUCAGUAGACCAUGCAAUAUUCCCAAAGGGGGAGAGAUGUGAUUUUCCUCUGGCAAGAGGAAUAAAACUAUCAAAUCUGUAAUAAAUAGAAAUCCUUUUACCUUUCACACAUUUUCAUAAUUUCCCCUGCUGCUUCAGCUAAUUAAUUAUCAAUGCUAUUUGUGUUUAGACAAGGGGGUUUGUCUCCUUCACAGCCCAUCUGCUUCUUGGUAACCUUGCUGUGAAGUCAUUGCAAAGCAGAGUUGCUGAUAAAGCUAUCAUCUCCAUGGCAACCCGCUGCUAUGUCACAAACACAGGAGUGUGACCUCACUGAAGUUAAAAGGAGAAAUCAAACUGGUGUCUGUUGUGUGAAGCGAUAAGAGUUUUUAAUCAGACACACAGUUUACUUAUUUAUUUUUCAGAAAUACAGGAGAGAAGGAUCCUUCUAGAGGAAUGUUACUGCAAUAACCUUGCUGCUAAUUACUCAGUAUGAAAUGAAGAUUUUUAUGUUAGGAACACAAUAUAAAUGUAUAGCUGCUUAUACUUAUACUUAUUGGGUGACAUGUCCUAUGAAAAUAUGCUGUGAUUCAGAGAGGUCUUUUCUGGGCAGAUUCCUCCUUUCUUCACUUGGCUUUGCAUUUAUUUCUAUUUAUUGUCUUAAUAAUGGCAACAACUAGCGUAUACUACUUACAACUUGUCAGAUCCAGCAACCCAUGAGAUAGGGACCAUUGACUCAAUUCUAUACAUGAUGGAACGGAGGCUUAGCAAGGUGGGGGACUUGUUGAAGGGCACUCACACACAGGCAGAGUGGUGGAGGUAGGUGUGGAGCCCUGAACUAUGCCUACUAAGCCGGGCUCUUCCCCACUGUGCUGGAUACCUGGCUAUGUAUCAUUUACCCCUCAACAUAGGCUUUGCUGUAGAUUCUUUUUGCUGGAAAGAGUUUACAGAAUGAGAAUUUAGUUCCAUAAAAUCUUACCAGUUGUUAGACAGUGAUGAAAUUUUAGUAAUAAAAGAAUUACAGGAUAUCAGAAUUGAUUUUUUCUAAUUCAGUUUUAUAGAGGAGAAAACUUAGUUACUUAGAGGAGUUUUUACCCAAAGCAACUCAAGGAUUAUCUGCUGCUACUUUGAUCACUUAGAGUUAACAGUUACAAGCUAUUCUUGCAAAAGUCUGUAUCCAUCCCACUUUCUCUAGCAUGUGGAAAUGACUGUGGUAGUGCCCUGGAGGUGGCUACCUGGCUGUGCAUCAGAAUGUCUCCGGACAGGUCACCCCAAAUGCCCAAACAAGGGUGCUUGUUCUGCUCAGACAUCUGUAAGAUAAAACCUCAGUUCUAACCAGAUAACCUCUUGAAAUCCCUUCCUGUUUAGACAUCCUGCAGCCUGCAAUAGGAACAACAAGAUAAACAAACAAAAGCCAGAAACAGAAAAGUAUAGAUUUUGUUUUAAAUGCCAGUUUUGUGAUUCCAUUUUACUUCCUUGACAGGAUAAUUUAGGACAAGUCAGAAUUCCUUAAAAAAAUCAGCUUGAAGUUUUUCCUGAGGGAAAAGUAGUACUUCAUCUGUUUUAUUAACUGGGAUUAACUAAGUAGAAAUUAAAUUAGUAAGAGUCUAAUUCAGUGAUUUCUCUUUUGUUUACCCCAAUGGCUCUAAACAGGUUAGUUUCUUUCACAUCCAACUAAUGACACCUUUAUUUAUCCUGCAAUCAUCCUAUGACUGUUUGGUUAUACAUCUCCUAGCAAAGAUGACAUUCCUUGUGUGAUACUUACCAAGUUGAGAAAGAAAGCAACUUCUCCCUUGCUUAUUGCAUCCAUUUGUAGCACAGCCCAUAUACUGAGAGGGAAUUAUGACAUGUAGCCACAGAGUGUAUCUCCUAAGAGAAAGAGCUAGUGAGAAGGUGAAUUCUGAAAUCGACCCACAGGAACUGUUACCAUAAGUUCUGAUCAGCCUGUUAUUUUCUUCCUUGGAUGGCUGGUUAACUAGUUACUCAGUUGUAUAACGCAGGCAGUAAAUAUCGUAACCUGGAAGUGUUGCAUCUCUCCAGCUGUCAAAGAGCUAAAGCAACAACAUCCAUUGAGCAUUUGUUGUGUGUGCACGUACUAGAAACUGGUAAGAAAAAACUAAGAGAAGAGUGUAUGUGGCAAGGACCCUGUAAUUCCUUAUAAUAUAUGGGAGGUUGGCAGGUCCCAACAGAAGCCUAAUAGCUAAAGGGACACAGAGUCAAAGAUUAUGGCAAUUGUCAUGCUUUGGUGUGUUUAGAAGUGCUAGGUGUGGUAAUAAAAGAUAUCAGACAAACGGUGUAUUAGGUAGUAAUUUUUAAACACAUGAUUAGAAAGAGCAAAUACAAAAAUAGCAUAUUCUGAGCGUUAGUAUGUGCCAGGCACCACACUGAGAAUCGUACAUUCUUACUGUCAUUUAAUCCCUUCAACAAACCUGGGACAUAGGCUUAGAGCUAACCCAUGAGAGAGAGAAUUGAGGUUUGAGGGGUUAAGUGACUUGUGCAGGUCAGUAGGGAAUAAAUUGGUGAAUUUCAGAACCUGUGUAUUUCAGAACCUGCAAAUUUAUGACAAAUUUAUGUCUCCUGGAAAGAUCCAAUAGGGAAAUGGCAAAGAUACAACACAGAGAUGAGAAUAAGUAUCCUGUAAGAGAUGCUUCAAAUUCCCUUUAUUCCAUUCCCCUCAUUUGGAUUGACCUAGGCAUAGCAGGAUAGACUGACCCAUACAACUUUACUGUGAUUGCUUCAGAUUCAUUUUUUUUUUCUCUUGUAACACUAGAGAAAGACAUGCCAGCACAGGUUGCUUGAAAGUACUCUCCCUUUUGGAAUCUUUCACCUUGAACACACUUGCCUUUUAGGAAUUAACUGAGUUGAAUAGAAAAACUCAGCAGGAUUACUAUAUUGAUAGAAUUGAUAGAUUUUAUUUUUUACCUACAUACCUGGGUACUUAAAACUGCAAGUAGUUUGUAAGCUGCUGUUUAAAUAUCUUUGCCAUUAUAUAGCAUCUAUAAAUCUAUAACAUUCAUAUGUUUUCUGAUAUUAGUAAUUCACUCAGUCUACUUGUUUAUACCGUUGUGUUCUCAUUUAUCCCUGGUAACACUAGAGAAGGAAAGACAAAAAAAAUGGACAGUUAAGAGACUUCAACUAGCUGCCCUUGUAGCUGAAUAAGUUAGAUUUGGAAAGAUGGGAGUAGAAAUUACCGGUUAGCCUUAAAGUUUAGAUUAUAAAUUGGAAGCAACUGGAGUCUCCCAGACAUAACUUAUCAAGGAUGUUGUAUAAGCUAAAAAAAAAAAAAAGUGCUGUUGAGCUUUUCUUUAACUAUAUAAACUCAUAAAUAAUUUAUAUUUCUAAAAGAAAAAAGGAGAAAUAGGAUUGAACUAUGCACAGUAUUAUGUAAUUUGGUAUUUUUCACAUAACACUACAGCUCAGACAUAAAGUAUACAUUAUAAAUAAAUUUAUUUCAUUCAUUUUAAUCACAGCAUAGUGAUUUACUGACUUUAUAUUUAUGGAUUUAGAUUGUUUCUAGGUUUUGUUUUGUUGGUAUGGUUUGUGCUGUUUUGUUUUGCUGCUACAAAUAAUGUUACAGUGGACCUCUUUAUACAUAUAUUUUGCCAAAUUGGUGAAUAUCUCUGUAGAAUAAAUAUCUAGAAUUCCAAUUGUCAGGUCAAAGGAUAGGUAGAUUUACAUUUUUAUAGAUAGUGCCGAAAGCUAUACAAAGUGCAUCAAUUUAAACCUUCAGCAGUGCAUAUCUAGUGUUUCAAUAUAAUUUUCUUGUGUAUUAGGUAAUAUCAGUGUUUUAAAUUUUUACCAUUUUGAUGUAUAAAUAAAGCAUUUAGGUUAAAUUUCUUUAUGGGGUGCCUGAGUGGCUCAAUUGGUUAAACGUCCUACUUCAGCUCAGGUCAUGAUCUCACGGUUCGUGAAUUCAAGCCCCGGUCAGACUCUGUGCUGACAGCUCAGAGCCUGGAGUCUGCUUUGGACUCUGUGUCUCCCUCCAUCUGCCCCUCUGCCACUUGCACUCUGUCUCUCGCAUUGUCUCAAAUAAACAUUUUUUUUUUUUUAAUUUCUUUAGUUAUGACUGAGUUUGAACAUUUUCUUAUGUUAAUUGAGCAUUGGUGUUUUUUGUCUUCCUGUACAUUUUUUGUUUUUUGUCAUUUUCUCAUUUCCUAUCAAAUUGUUUUAAGAUUUUAUUUAUAUAAUUGUUUAAUGUAAAAAGUGUUAGUUCUAGAAUAUCAUAUAGGUUAGAUAUAGUUUUCUCAGUUAUCAUUUGUGUUUUAACUUGGUUUAUGAUAAUUUGGGGAGUGGGUAGGAGUUUGAAAUUUUACAUAAAUUUAUCAAUUUUUUAAUGAUUUUUUUUUUUUUAGUUUUAAUUCUCUACCUCUGAAAUUUAAGAGGAAAAAAAAGUCACAUAUUUUCCUUUUGUCCCUAUGUAAUACCAUUCUUCUUCUCUUUAUAUGUUUAUUAAACCUUCUAUUUGGGAUUUAUUUUCAUGUGAGAUAUAAGAAGGUGAUCUAAACUUUUUUUUUUUUUUUUAGUCACUAGCCAGUUGUCCCAACAACAUUGCUAUAUAAUUUACCUUUUGUUCACCUUUAUCAUGUAAUAAAUUCCCUUAAGCAUUUAUCUCUGUGUAUGAUUUCUCUUUGCAUUGAUCUUCUGAUAAUCCAGUACAAAGUAAUUUAAAUAUUAUAGUUUAAUAUAUUUGAAAUUAUCUUGGUACUUGGAUUGAGAUUAUGCUAAUUUCAUAGAUUAAUUUAGUGGGAAAUGCUAUCAUUUCAACGUUGAAUCUUUACGUAAGCCUAAAUUAUGUAUUUCCAUUUAUUCACUUUUAAUUCUGUGGGGAAACUACACAGAGUAUCUUUAAUAUAUUCCUUUCCUAUUUUCUCCAUAACCUCUGUAAGUGCUUAGAGAAAACUAUGUUGUUCACCUAGUGUCUAAUAUGUUUUGCUUUUCAUUACUCAUUCCAUUUUCCUGAUAUCAUUAUUUAUUUUCUCAUUUAACCUUGGAAAUUUCAAAAUUCUGCCACAGUGAAUUAAUUCUUCCUAAUCCUGGAGACUAGCCUUUUAGCUAUGGAAGGUGAAUGACAUAGUAUUUGAAUAAUGACUAAUGUGAUAAACAGUGUAGAGCGGCUGCCUCUCAUUGCUUUUUACUAGUGUACAAUCAUUACUAGUGCAGGAUUGAGUGAUUUGGAUGAAGUUUACUUAAGGAUCACUGUCAUUAUAUAUUUAUGAAUAACUGCAAACACUAUUUAGGAUAAGCCAUUCCCUGAGAAUUGGCAUGCCACAUCAGGGACUGGAUGAUAGAAUUCCUAGGCCUGUGUUUAUGGCACUAACAAUCUGUUUCAUAAGCCAGCCUGUGCAAGCUAAUGAUCAUAGUCACUAACCAUUCUAUUCUCAUUUUAAUAAAAAUUGCAGAGAGAGGAAAGAAUAAUAAGAGAAAAAAGGUGAUAGAUGUACUGCAUAGGCUAUCUGUAAACAAAUAAAAUCCAUUUAGCCUUGUUUGGAGGAACAACAACAAAAAAAAAUGUUCAAACCUCUAGUAGCAGCAACAAGAUAUUGCCAUUUAUACUCAUAUAGUGCCCUGUAUUCUAUCCCUUUUUUGCAAAAGAGGAAUAAAGGGUAUCCCUGAACAGAGUAAUCAAAUCCUCUGUUUUUGGUGGUGGUGAUGUUGAAUUUUAAGGGAGGGGGAGGUUGCUUUCUGAAGCUAUUCAAAUAGCCUAGUAUUCUUUUCCAUUACCAGAAUGUUUAUUUUGUCAGUAACAAUUAUAGCUACCAUGGAAGGUACUGUGAUUUUGUGGGACACACAGAGAAACAAAAGAUUAACUUACACUAUUGUCCAAAAUAGUGAGCAGGCUAAACAGCAUUCUAAGGGUCAGACAUCAACAGUCUGUCUGCUCCCCCAACCCCAUCUUACUCUUCCUCAGUCUUUGUUCCUAUGCCUGUUCCCUACUAUCAAGGCCAGCAUUAUCAACCUUGACACAUUACAAUACUGUUAUUUAUGAGAAAUUUAUAUUUGGUUAUUGAGAUGACCAAAAUGUAUUUCUUAAUAUAUGUGUUUCUCUCCAAGGUUCCUAGCUCACAGCAAUUAAAACCCUUGGAAUUUCCGGUGGUCAGGGCACUAAAGGUAUUUUGUUAUGUUAAUGAAGGUGUCUUUUGGACCCCACCCAAACUCUAAGGUUGGUUUCCUGGAGGACCAACCAUCUGAUUAAAAGAUCAGAGAGGGGUUGGAGGUUGAAUCAGCCAAUAGCCAAAGAGUUAGUCAAUUAUGACUAAACAAUGAAGCCCCCAUAACACACAAAACUAAUGAGUAUGGAGAGCUUCUGGGUUGGUGAACCUGUGGGUAGAGAUUGGAGAGAGUGGCUUGUCCUUUUCCUGUACCAUAUGUAUCUCUUAAUUUGUUGAUUCAUAUCCUUUAUCAUAUGAUUUAAUAAGCUGGUAAACCCAGAUUUUUUUCCUGAGUUAUAUGAGCUGCUUUAGCAAAUUAAAAGAAUCUAAGAAGGACAUUAUUGGCAUUUUUAAUCUGUAGCCAGUUGGGCAGAAGCACAGGUAACAGCCUGUGGCUUGCAACUAGUGUGUGGGAGAGGGUAGGAAGGGAGGGGUCAUCUUGUAGGACUGAACCCUUAAAUUUUGGAAUCUGAUGCUAUUUUCAGCUAGAUAGUGUCAGAUUUGAAUUGAAUUCUUGGACACCAGAAGGGACACCAGAAGGGUGUUCAAGAAUUACUUGGUGUUGUUGGAGCUGGGUGCCCACACAAUGAAAUUUGGUCUGGGAACCCUUAAAAGAGAGGCUAAUAAGUGGGCUUAGUCAUAGAACAAGGUAAAUGAAAUUCUUUUUGGAUAUUUACUGGGAGUCUGAUCUGUCGUAGAUUUGCAUAUUUCCAUAAACAAAGCCAGAGCUGGUUAAAAGUCUGGUGACUUUUGUUAUCUGAAACAUUGUGAUGUAAUAUCACCUACUAAAUGGUUCUCCUGGUGUUGUCUUAGGAAAAAAAGAUUGGGAAGGCUGAAGAGAUGAGUAUCAAACUAUGUCCCCUCCAGCCUUUUCUUAUUUUACUAAUGUAGGAUCACCACAGUAUCAGGGUGGGAGGAAGGUGGGGUGCCAGGGAUACUGAAUAAGAUGCCCUUACACUACACAAGAAUAGUGACAUUCUAAACCAGAAUGUUUGUGGGCUUUCUGUUGCUCAGGAUGGUAAGGAAUCUUUUUUGAAUGAUUACACUGUGUAGUUGUUGAGAUGCUAGCUAGCAGGAAUGGGAAUCUCACAUGGAGUUUGUAGUUUCUCAGGAAUAAUGAAGAAGCAUGUAUUUAAUUAAAAAUGGGAGAAAAUACAGAACUAUCCAUCAUAAGGACCCUGGAUGAAUUGUAAGAAUAAUUUGGGAGUUGGCAGUCCUCUCUGUUGGACAUAUGGGGCAAAUAUUUGGCAAUCCUAUCUACGGAUAUUCCUUUAGAGAACAUACAACUCUCUUUUCCCUCACCUGGCAAUGCUGUGAGUCUACUUUCUUGGAAUCUUGUAGAACCUAAGACUGUAUAAAAAUGUAUUUCAAUAACAUAAAUAAUGCAGACAUAAACCAGAGAAAAAUAGCUUCUGAUUGUCCCCUAGCACUGUGCCAGCUAAGUCCCAUGGUAUAGUCUUUAAAAUUAGACAUUUAAGGAAAGUUAGGCUUAGCAGCCCAGAGCAGACUCCAGGAUAACAAGAAAGCUAUUACAUCACUUUUUAAUUCUCCACACAGUGUGAUCUUAGACAAACAUACCUCAUCUCUUUCCUUUUUCACAUGUAAGGUGAUUGAUAAGUAAAUCUAAUCACAUUACUAAUAUCCCAUCCAUGAUUUCCUUUCUUCUUAGAAUGAAGGUGGAACUUCUUAAAUGGGCCAAAAGGGUCUUGGAUACUUAUAUAGUCAGGUUUCUACCAAUAUCUCCAAUCUCCUGUCCUACAGGCUCUUUUUUACUUUCUGGUAUCCGGCCACAUUCGCCUUCCUUAGCCUCAUAUACUCGUGUUACUUCCUACCAUCACAAGGCAUUUUCAUGUGACAUGUCCUCUACUUUUCCUUCUUUUGCUCUUUACUCUAAGAUGCCAUUUAGACCUUGGGCUAAGCAUUUUUUUGAAAGACCCUUGAAUGUGGCUGGACAGGUCAAAUAACAUAACAGAUUUUCAGAAUGCCCAAUACUUUUCUGUGGUGGCACUUCUCACUGUUGCAUUUUCACAUUUAUUUGCAUGAUUUGAUCCUUGUCUACUUACCCCUAGACUCUAAACAAAUUUGAGAAGAGCAAAUGUGCCUGUGUUGUUCACUGUUGUGUCCCUAGUGUCUAUGAUGGUUACCGGAAUAAAGUAGGUACCCCCAAAAAUGUGUCAAAUGAAUGUUGACUUUUAACUCAUGUCUUUGUCUCCAUCAAAAACGCGUAGGGUCUUUGGGGAUCCGGUAAAAACUCCUGCAGAAAUGUUUUGCUGCCUUGGCUGCAGAGAUAAUAUAGGAUGUGGGUAUUCUCUGUUGCUUUUAAUGCACACCAGCAGCUGAGCUGAAUGAGAGAUGCUGAAUUCAAGAGUGGUGACUGUAUACAAAAAGAAGCAAUAUAGUGUAAUAAUUUCUAAGAUAACACUUGAAAAUCAUCAAGAAAGGAACAACAAAAUAAACUUUUCAAAGAAUCAUAGAAUGUUAAAUCUGGAAGGAAUGUACAGUAUCAUGUAAGAAUAAUCUUCAUCUUUUAAAAAAUGAGAAAGCAGAAGCCUAGCAGUGGAGAAUUAGGACAAGAAUCAAAAGGUUCCUCACAUGUAAUUCAUACUCUCUUUGUCACACCAUUCUGCUUUUCUAAAAAAAAUGGUCACUCUCUGAGAUACUUAAUCUUUAAAAAAGAAAUUGGGAAAAAAAUUCAGUGGAAUUCAUAUUCUACAAAAAGAUGAUCUGUAGCCCUGUUUUUCUCUUCCAUAGAAAUACAAAAAAUAAUAACAAUAACAAUAUUAUCUCUGAAACAUAUUAUGUGUAGAAUGGCAGUAUGGCAGUCACCCAAAAAAGCUUUUACUGUUUCUAGAAUGUUUGUUUGAAUACAUUAAAACUAUUUUUUUAAUAUAUAAAAGGCAGUUCCUCUCUCUGCGCCCUUUAAAUGAGAGGGGGUGAAUGACAGGGAUGGGAAUUAUAAAUCAGGACCCCAUUCAGAAGCCAACCAAUCACCUGGUCAGGGAUUCCCUGGGCCUUAUGGAAAGUUUCACUUUUGCAGCAAGACAGUUUCAGGAGUCAAUUUCUACCACCGUUUUCAACAUACAUAUCUAAAUCUAGUUCUUGAAGCUAUAGUAAUUUGAUGUCCCAAACUCUAAAGCUCUAUUAUUUCUAUGUUAAAACCAAAAGCUUUAACAUUGAGCUUUAUUAUAGAAUGACAUCCCACCUAGGAUAUCAUAUGUAAACAAUAUAAAAAGAGAGAGAAGAAAAAGUCAAUCACCUAAAUCUUUUAUAAGAAUAAGGCAACAUCUGAUAAAGUGAUUGUAUGGUGAAUAUAAUUUGGAUGUUUUGGGUUAAAUGCCCCCUCCAUACACUUGCAUACAUACAUCUUUGAAAAAAAGACUAGAAGGAAAAACAAUAGCAUGAUUCUUGUGGAAAUUUUUUUGUCUCUGUAUUCUCCAAAUUUAGUUCUUAUUAAUUAUUUUACAAUUAAAAUUACUUUUUUCAAUAUGUCAUUUAACAUGGCAAAGAAACCAGAAUAAAAUCCCCUUCCCAUAUCAAACUUUCCAUUGCAAAUCUACUAAUUGAGUUUUGGAGAUUUUGUUCUUCUCCAAACUCCAAUUCAACCAGGGAAGUUACAGUAAGCUAUUACAGGGAUAGGGCCCAGAGAAAGCAUUCAAAUAGCAAAGCAUGUUUAUCAUAAAUUACUCUUAACCAGAGGUGGAUUUAUUGUCAGACUAAUGAUGCAUAAGCUCCUCAUUUUCAUGAGAUUCUUUCUUCCUAGCCCCUGGAAGGGAUGUUGGUAAUGUUGUAUUCCUAAUAUUGAAUUAAUUUUCUGAAAGAGCCUCUUCCCCCAAUGCAUUAGUGUUCCACAAAAUUUAAUUCUGAUCCUGCUUUUAAUCAAGAGGGGGAAAAGAGUAUAGGAAGCUCAAUCUGGUGCUUUCUUUUGGCCAUUAACUUGAAUUUACGUGAAUGAAUGUCCUCUGUCUCAUACUUUUGACACUUUGAGUCUUGAGUACCCUGUAAAGUCCAUGUCUGACUGUUCUUUUAGGUUAUCUGUGAAGCCCCAACCACACAUGGUCCAUCCAGUGAUGAUUGCUCUGUAAUGAACUUAUUUAUCCCUAGAAAUAUCUGUUUAUUGGACUUCUGCUUAUUCCCCCCCCCGAGUAGUUGAUAUAUUUAUGUCCAUUUUUUUAAAGCAAAAUGUAUGAAUUCUUGCACAUGUUUACCUGCAAAGUUAUGUUCCCCUUCCAUAUCCAUGGCCUCUGGCUUUAGGCAAUGGUCUGCUCCAUUUACCAGUGCUGCCCUCAGGGAUAAUAAAUCUGAGGGCAAUAUCUCAGUAUGGAAGAAAGUUGGUAACCUCUGUACCCUCAUGUUUCAUAAUGGCUUUCCAGAAGACAAAAAAAGAAAAUCAAUUUAUGACUCCUAAUGGGAUGUCCUUUUAUCUUUCUCAUGUCCUCAUGUUCUGUUUCUUUUUUCAAAGCUCAAGAGGGAUAGCAGCAGAUGAGGAGAAGUUCUGUAUUACAUUGAAUCUCUGGCUCUGUCUUAGAUCAACUUCAAAGGCAUAGUAAUUCUGCAAUAAUAGCUCAACAUAAAUGGAUCUAACAUCAAAGCUACCCUCUGAUAAAGGUAUGUAUUAGCUGUUGAACACUUAUUAUGUGUCUCUGGUUCCAUUUCUGUAGAGAUUAUGUAUAUAUUGAGAAUAUAUAUAUGUAUAUAUGUGUGUAUAUAUAUAUAUAUAUGUGUGUGUGUGUGUGUGUGUAUAUAUAUAUAUACCCUCCAUAAUUCCCAUAUAAUUUCCAUUCACACUAAUUUGAAUUUCACACUUAACUCCAUGAGGCAAU
Long non-coding RNA from Acinonyx jubatus (cheetah), 13872 nucleotides. RefSeq lists it as uncharacterized. The record is from RefSeq and is a predicted model, not a curated record. The transcript is spliced from 3 exons. Lineage: Eukaryota; Metazoa; Chordata; Mammalia; Carnivora; Felidae.